This 98-nucleotide transfer RNA is filed under the name Desertifilum sp. SIO1I2. Its description in RNAcentral is "tRNA-Phe". It matches the Rfam family "tRNA". From Rfam's summary of the family: Transfer RNA (tRNA) molecules are approximately 80 nucleotides in length. Lineage: Bacteria; Bacillati; Cyanobacteriota; Cyanophyceae; Desertifilales; Desertifilaceae. The record is from RNAcentral.
GCAAGGACAGCUUAAACCCCUGAUACAAUAAGCUUUCAACAAGGAAGGUGAGGGGACUGAAAAUCCUCGUGUCGCCGGUUCAAGUCCGGCUCCUGGCA